UUCUCCAAUUCCUGCAUGCAUCUCCAUCGUGCUGUGGCUGCAUUUUUUCUACGCUUCCCACCAACCGCACUGUCGGGCAGUGCAACAGCCAAGAGUGCUGAACCUAAACCGAACUGACUGCGGCGUCCUCUUCUUGUUCCCAAACCUCACCGCCUCAACUGCUUCGCCUUCGACUGCGGGCGGCGGCGGCGGCGUACAAAGAACCAAAAGAUGACUCCUUGCGCUCUCACCGUCGACUCCCUAAACCCAAAGGUGCUGGCUCUCGCGGAUCACCUCGGCGACAACGCCAUUGCCCGCCGCGCGCAGUGCAUCCAGAACGAGAUAGAAGCAGAACCGGAGUCACACCCUUUCCGCGAGAUAAUCGAUUGCAGCCUCAGCAAUCCACAGUCCAUGGGACAGCGGCCAAACAAGUUCUUCCGAGAGGUUCUUGCCUUGUGCGACUAUCCCCAUCUUCUAGAACAGAGUGGAACUAAUUCCUUGUUCAGCUCUGGUGCGAUAGCAAGGGCACGGGAGAUUCUAGACCUCUUUCCCGGGAGAGCAACAGGAGGAUAUAGCCACUCUCAGGGCACUGAAGGAUUGCGCGACAUAAUCGCCGCUGGAAUAGCCGCUCGAGAUAAUUUCCCCUGUAACGCGGAUGACAUUUUCCUGACAGAUGGAGCAGCUCCGCCGGUUCACAUGAUGAUGCACCUGCUGAUACGGGAUAAAAAAGACGGCAUCCUCUGCCCAGUUCCAUCGCAUUCCUUGUACACGAGUGCUAUGCUUCUCCAGGGCGCUACUCUUGUGCCAUAUUUCCUUGACGAGUCAAGAGGCUGGGGAGUGAGCAUGUCAGACCUGAAGAAGCAGCUGGAUAGUGCCCGGUCAAUGGGUGUUUUUGUUAGGGGGCUUGUGGUUAUAAAUCCAGGCAACCCUACUGGACAUGUUCUCGUGGAGGAAAAUCAGCGUGAGAUUGUGGAUUUCUGCAGGAAUGAAGAUCUUGUUCUUCUAGCAGACGAGGUUUACCAGGAAAAUAUUUACGCAGAUGAGAAGGGAUUUCACUCUUUCAAGAAGAUAGCACGGUCCAUGGGGUACGGCGAAGGAGACAUAUCUUUAGUGUCCUUCCAUUCAGUUUCUAAUGGAUAUUAUGGUGAAUGUGGGAGAAGGGGAGGCUACAUGGAAGUCACUGGCUUCAACUCUGAUGUAAAGAAACAAGUGUACAAAGUUGUAUCCCUAAGCUCGUGCUCCAACAUCUCCGGCCAGAUCCUCAUGAGCCUAGUCAUGAACCCGCCACAGGUCGGAAGAAAAAUGAAACGUCGGAGACGAGUCGUACGCCUCUUACCAGGCCGAAAGAGACGGCGUCCUGUCAUCUUUCGCUCGCUGCGCAGAGGCCAUGGUGCGCUCAUUCAACGGGCUGGAAGGGGUGACCUGUAGCGAGGCUGAAGGAGCAGUGUUCGUGUUCCCUUCAGUCCGUCUGCCAAAGAAGGCGGUCGCAGCUGCCGAGGCAAGCAACACGCAGCCAGAUGCGUUCUACGCCCUCCGCCUCCUCGAAACCACCGGGAUCGUCGUUGUGCCUGGCUCUGUUUUUGGACAGAUGCAUGGAACGUGGCAUUUCAGAUGCACGGUCCUGCCACACGAAGAGAAGAAGACGAUGACGGUGAUCAUCUCCAGCUUUGUGGCGUUUCAUCGAGCCUUCAUGGAAGAGUUUCGCGACUAACAGAUUUCAGCUCCUCUUCUUCUAUCUCUGUAUUGUACCACAACUUAAUGCUGUACUUCGGAGAAAACCUAGACCUCUCCAAAUGCAUGAUUCCUGUAUGAAACUGUUUGAGUUUUUCUUUUUCUUU
Molecule: RNA transcript, 1817 nt
Organism: Zea mays
Lineage: Eukaryota; Viridiplantae; Streptophyta; Magnoliopsida; Poales; Poaceae
Exons: 15
Source: RefSeq, marked provisional